Molecule: ribosomal RNA, 911 nt
Filed under: Aspergillus toxicarius
Lineage: Eukaryota; Fungi; Ascomycota; Eurotiomycetes; Eurotiales; Aspergillaceae
Description: LSU rRNA
Rfam family: Eukaryotic large subunit ribosomal RNA
Source: RNAcentral
GCAUAUCAAUAAGCGGAGGAAAAGAAACCAACCGGGAUUGCCUCAGUAACGGCGAGUGAAGCGGCAAGAGCUCAAAUUUGAAAGCUGGCUCCUUCGGGGUCCGCAUUGUAAUUUGCAGAGGAUGCUUCGGGUGCGGCCCCUGUCUAAGUGCCCUGGAACGGGCCGUCAGAGAGGGUGAGAAUCCCGUCUGGGAUGGGGUGUCCGCGCCCGUGUGAAGCUCCUUCGACGAGUCGAGUUGUUUGGGAAUGCAGCUCUAAAUGGGUGGUAAAUUUCAUCUAAAGCUAAAUACUGGCCGGAGACCGAUAGCGCACAAGUAGAGUGAUCGAAAGAUGAAAAGCACUUUGAAAAGAGAGUUAAAAAGCACGUGAAAUUGUUGAAAGGGAAGCGCUUGCGACCAGACUCGCCUCCAGGGUUCAGCCGGCAUUCGUGCCGGUGUACUUCCCUGGGGGCGGGCCAGCGUCGGUUUGGGCGGCCGGUCAAAGGCUCCCGGAAUGUAGUGCCCUCCGGGGCACCUUAUAGCCGGGAGUGCAAUGCGGCCAGCCUGGACCGAGGAACGCGCUUCGGCACGGACGCUGGCAUAAUGGUCGUAAACGACCCGUCUUGAAACACGGACCAAGGAGUCUAACAUCUACGCGAGUGUUCGGGUGUCAAACCCGUACGCGCAGUGAAAGCGAACGGAGGUGGGAGCCCCCUCGUGGGGCGCACCAUCGACCGAUCCUGAAGUCUUCGGAUGGAUUUGAGUAAGAGCGUAAAUGUGGGGACCCGAAAGAUGGUGAACUAUGCCUGAAUAGGGCGAAGCCAGAGGAAACUCUGGUGGAGGCUCGCAGCGGUUCUGACGUGCAAAUCGAUCGUCAAAUUUGGGUAUAGGGGCGAAAGACUAAUCGAACCAUCUAGUAGCUGGUUCCUGCCGA